This 253-nucleotide ribosomal RNA is filed under the name uncultured bacterium. Its description in RNAcentral is "partial 16S ribosomal RNA". It matches the Rfam family "Bacterial small subunit ribosomal RNA", at positions 524 to 776 of the family's 1533-position model. The record is from RNAcentral.
UACAGAGGUCUCAAGCGUUGUUCGGAUUCAUUGGGCGUAAAGGGUGUGUAGGUGGCGCGCUAAGUCGGGUGUGAAAUUUCGGAGCUUAACUCCGAAACUGCAUUUGAUACUGGCGUGCUUGAGGACUGGAGAGGAGACUGGAAUUCAUGGUGUAGCAGUGAAAUGCGCAGAUAUCAGGAAGAACACCAAUGGCGAAGGCAGCUCUCUGGGACGGUACUGACGCUGAGACGCGAAAGCGUGGGGAGCGAACAGG